GAAGAACGCUGGCGGCGUGCUUAACACAUGCAAGUCGAACGGUAAGGCCCUUCGGGGUACACGAGUGGCGAACGGGUGAGUAACACGUGGGUGAUCUGCCCUGCACUUCGGGAUAAGCCUGGGAAACUGGGUCUAAUACCGGAUAGGACCACUGCCUGCAUGGGUGGUGGUGGAAAGCUUUUGCGGUGUGGGAUGGGCCCGCGGCCUAUCAGCUUGUUGGUGGGGUGAUGGCCUACCAAGGCGACGACGGGUAGCCGGCCUGAGAGGGUGACCGGCCACACUGGGACUGAGAUACGGCCCAGACUCCUACGGGAGGCAGCAGUGGGGAAUAUUGCACAAUGGGCGCAAGCCUGAUGCAGCGACGCCGCGUGAGGGAUGACGGCCUUCGGGUUGUAAACCUCUUUCAGCACCGACGAAGCGCAAGUGACGGUAGGUGCAGAAGAAGGACCGGCCAACUACGUCCCAGCAGCCGCCGUAA
RNAcentral lists this ribosomal RNA (478 nucleotides) under uncultured bacterium. RNAcentral's name for it is "partial 16S ribosomal RNA". It matches the Rfam family "Bacterial small subunit ribosomal RNA", at positions 31 to 523 of the family's 1533-position model. The record is from RNAcentral.